AUUGAACGCUGGCGGCAUGCUUUACACAUGCAAGUCGAACGGCAGCGCGGGCUUCGGCCUGGCGGCGAGUGGCGAACGGGUGAGUAAUGCAUCGGAACGUGCCCAGUAGUGGGGGAUAGCCCGGCGAAAGCCGGAUUAAUACCGCAUACGACCUGAGGGUAAAAGCGGGGGACCGAAAGGCCUCGCGCUAUUGGAGCGGCCGAUGUCGGAUUAGCUAGUUGGUGGGGUAAAGGCUUACCAAGGCGACGAUCCGUAGCUGGUCUGAGAGGACGACCAGCCACACUGGGACUGAGACACGGCCCAGACUCCUACGGGAGGCAGCAGUGGGGAAUUUUGGACAAUGGGGGCAACCCUGAUCCAGCCAUGCCGCGUGCGGGAAGAAGGCCUUCGGGUUGUAAACCGCUUUUGUUCGGGAAGAAAUCCUCUGGGCUAAUACCCCGGGGGGAUGACGGUACCGGAAGAAUAAGCACCGGCUAACUACGUG
This 484-nucleotide ribosomal RNA is filed under the name uncultured bacterium. RNAcentral's name for it is "partial 16S ribosomal RNA". It matches the Rfam family "Bacterial small subunit ribosomal RNA", at positions 29 to 507 of the family's 1533-position model. The record is from RNAcentral.